Molecule: transfer RNA, 83 nt
Filed under: Xibalbanus tulumensis
Lineage: Eukaryota; Metazoa; Arthropoda; Remipedia; Nectiopoda; Speleonectidae
Description: tRNA-Gln
Source: RNAcentral
UAUGUGGUGGGGUUGAGUGAUAUGCCCGUUAGGUUUUGGUCCUGGAGGUGAUUGGCCGGUUUAUCUUGAGCCAUCUUACAUAG